AUUGAACGCUGGCGGCAUGCUUUACACAUGCAAGUCGAACGGUAACAGGGUGCUUGCACCGCUGACGAGUGGCGAACGGGUGAGUAAUGCGUCGGAACGUGCCGAGUAGUGGGGGAUAACGCAGCGAAAGUUGUGCUAAUACCGCAUACGUACUGAGGUAGAAAGUGGGGGACCUUCGGGCCUCACGCUAUUCGAGCGGCCGACGUCUGAUUAGCUAGUAGGUGAGGUAAAGGCUCACCUAGGCGACGAUCAGUAGCGGGUCUGAGAGGAUGAUCCGCCACACGGGGACUGAGACACGGCCCAGACUCCUACGGGAGGCAGCAGUGGGGAAUUUUGGACAAUGGGCGAAAGCCUGAUCCAGCCAUGCCGCGUGUCUGAAGAAGGCCUUCGGGUUGUAAAGGACUUUUGUCAGGGAGGAAAUCCCUAGUGCUAAUAACACUGGGGGAUGACAGUACCUGAAGAAUAGGCACCGGCUAACUACGUGCCAGCAGCCGCGGUAA
This 500-nucleotide ribosomal RNA is filed under the name uncultured bacterium. RNAcentral describes it as "partial 16S ribosomal RNA". It matches the Rfam family "Bacterial small subunit ribosomal RNA", at positions 30 to 523 of the family's 1533-position model. The record is from RNAcentral.